This 117-nucleotide ribosomal RNA is filed under the name Cryobacterium levicorallinum. Lineage: Bacteria; Bacillati; Actinomycetota; Actinomycetes; Micrococcales; Microbacteriaceae. RNAcentral also lists the same sequence under 8 other names. The record is from RNAcentral.
UUCGGCGGCUAUAGCGAGAGGGAAACGCCCGGUCACAUUCCGAACCCGGAAGCUAAGACUCUCAGCGCUGAUGGUACUGCAGGGGGGACCCUGUGGGAGAGUAAGACACCGCCGGAC